CAGUAGCCGCGGGAAUACGGAGGGGGCUAGCGUUGUUCGGAAUUACUGGGCGUAAAGCGCACGUAGGCGGCUUUGUAAGUCAGAGGUGAAAGCCCGGGGCUCAACCCCGGAAUUGCCUUUGAGACUGCAUCGCUUGAAUCCAGGAGAGGUGAGUGGAAUUCCGAGUGUAGAGGUGAAAUUCGUAGAUAUUCGGAAGAACACCAGUGGCGAAGGCGGCCAUCUGGGACAACACUGACGCUGAGGCACGAAAGCGUGGGGAGCAAACAGGAUUAGAUACCCCAGUAGUCCCUGUCUCUUAUAC
Molecule: ribosomal RNA, 301 nt
Filed under: uncultured bacterium
Lineage: Bacteria
Description: partial 16S ribosomal RNA
Rfam family: Bacterial small subunit ribosomal RNA
Source: RNAcentral